UGCAGUCAAGUCAAAUUCAGCCCCUGUUCCCGUGGUAGCGGGGGCUGGCCCAGAUGACUGCCACAGCAAGCUCCACAGCUCAUGGGCCCCGGGUCCCCUGCCCUGGGACCUGGGGAUAAGUUUGGCUGCGGACAUGG
Molecule: small nucleolar RNA, 137 nt
Organism: Balaenoptera musculus (blue whale)
Lineage: Eukaryota; Metazoa; Chordata; Mammalia; Artiodactyla; Balaenopteridae
Gene: SNORA5C
Product: small nucleolar RNA, H/ACA box 5C
Source: Ensembl